GGUGUGGAGGCAAAAAAUCACGCAGGUCCGGCAAUUGUGAUAUCCUACGUCAUCGCUGGAUCCUCUGCUAUGUUAAGCGCCUUUUGCUACACCGAAUUUGCUGAUGAGAUCCCCCUCGCUGGUGAGCGUUCGUUAACGCUUGAAUUUAUCUGCAUAUAAUACCAGCUUCACAAUCAUUCAAUAGGCACCGCGACCGUCACAAUAUGAGAAAUGCAAGAAUGAAGGGACUCUCUCAUGAUAUUUUGAUUGCUAGAAAGGAGGAGCUUUUGCAUACCUGCGGGUGGAGCUUGGCGAUUUUAUUGCUUUCAUAGGCGCAGGCAACAUAGUACUUGGAAACGUUAUUGGUAGUGCUGCCGUCGCAAGGGGGUGGACUUCUUACUUCGCGUCCCUCAUCUUCAGUGGUGUUGACGUGGGUGACAAACUACGAAUCGAAACUAAUCUUGCUGAAGGAUACAAUCAGCUCGAUCCCAUUGCUGUUGCCGUCCUCGUACUUGUUGGUAAGCACAUUCAGUAUUCUUUUUCAGGCUCGAAGUUACGGAAUGAUUCAAGAUUCAAAAAGCUGUGGCCUCUGAAGAAAAUGUGUUCUUCUAAGCGGUUUUUGGAGAAUGUAACAGGAUUGGUUGCAAUAUGGAGCACAAAAGGAGCAUCGUACGUAAAUUGGAUCGCGUCCUUGGUCAACAUGUUCAUCAUCGCAUUCAUCAUUGUUGCUGGUCUAGCACUUUCAAACUCCCACAACCUUACGGAUGACUUCUUCCAUUAUGGAGCAAGGGGCAUCUUUAGUGCAUCAUCGGUCUUAUUUUUUGCAUACCUUGGCUUCGAUGCAAUUU
This 827-nucleotide long non-coding RNA is filed under the name Physcomitrium patens. Its description in RNAcentral is "long non-coding RNA (PPAT_LNC011631)". The record is from RNAcentral. Lineage: Eukaryota; Viridiplantae; Streptophyta; Bryopsida; Funariales; Funariaceae.